Molecule: ribosomal RNA, 292 nt
Filed under: uncultured bacterium
Lineage: Bacteria
Description: partial 16S ribosomal RNA
Source: RNAcentral
GGACUACUGGGGUAUCUAAUCCUGUUUGCUCCCCUAGCUUUCGCGCCUCAGCGUCAGCUCUAGCCCAGAAAACCGUCUUCACCACCGGUGUUCUUCCACAUAUCUACGCAUUUCACCGCUACACGUGGAAUUCCGUUUUCCCUAACUAGGCUCAAGAUGAGGAGUAUCGAAUGCAGCACCGCAGUUGAGCCGCGGUAUUUCACAUUUGACUUUCCCAUCCGCCUACGCGCCCUUUACGCCCAGUAAUUCCGAUCAAUGCUUGCACCCUCCGUAUUACCGCGGCUGCUGGCAC